This 433-nucleotide ribosomal RNA is filed under the name uncultured bacterium. RNAcentral describes it as "bacterial SSU rRNA". It matches the Rfam family "Bacterial small subunit ribosomal RNA", at positions 28 to 490 of the family's 1533-position model. The record is from RNAcentral.
GAUGAACGCUGGCGGCGUGCCUAACACAUGCAAGUCGAGCGAUUCUCUUCGGAGAAGAGCGGCGGACGGGUGAGUAACGCGUGGGUAACCUGCCUGUACACACGGAUAACAUACCGAAAGGUAUGCUAAUACGAGAUAAUAUACUUUUAUCGCAUGGUAGAAGUAUCAAAGCUCCGGCGGUACAGGAGGGACCCGCGUCUGAUUAGCUAGUUGGUAAGGUAACGGCUUACCAAGGCGACGAUCAGUAGCCGACCUGAGAGGGUGAUCGGCCACAUUGGAACUGAGACACGGUCCAAACUCCUACGGAGGCAGCAGUGGGGAAUAUUGCACAAUGGGCGAAAGCCUGAUGCAGCAACGCCGCGUGAGCGAUGAAGGCCUCGGGUCGUAAAGACUCUGUCCUCAAGGAAGAUAAUGACGGUACUUGAGGAGGAAG